GAUGAAGAACGUAGCGAAAUGCGAUAAGUAAUGUGAAUUGCAGAAUUCAGUGAAUCAUCGAAUCUUUGAACGCACCUUGCGCCCUUUGGCUAUUCUGAAGGGCAUGCCUGUUUGAGUAUCGUGAACACCUCAACUCUCAUGGUCUGCCAUGAUGAGCUUGGACUUUGGGGGUCUUGCUGGCCUACUGUCAGCUCCUCUCAAAUGAAUCAGCUUGCCAGUGUUUGGUGGCACCACAGGUGUGAUAACUAUCUACGCUUGUGGUUUUCUGCCAGGUAACCUCCAGUGAUGGAGGUUCGCUGGAGCUCACAAAUGUCUCUCCUCAGCGAGGACAGCUUUUUGAACGUUUGAUCUCAAAUCAGGUAGGACUACCCGCUGAACUUAAGCAUAUCAAUAAGCGGAGGA
This 402-nucleotide unclassified non-coding RNA is filed under the name soil metagenome. RNAcentral's name for it is "partial contains 5.8S ribosomal RNA, internal transcribed spacer 2, and large subunit ribosomal RNA". The stretch from base 1 to 121 matches the Rfam family "5.8S ribosomal RNA", at positions 35 to 154 of the family's 154-position model. The record is from RNAcentral.